RNAcentral lists this ribosomal RNA (253 nucleotides) under uncultured bacterium. RNAcentral describes it as "partial 16S ribosomal RNA". It matches the Rfam family "Bacterial small subunit ribosomal RNA", at positions 524 to 776 of the family's 1533-position model. The record is from RNAcentral.
UACGUAGGUGGCAAGCGUUGUCCGGAUUUACUGGGCGUAAAGCGUGCGCAGGCGGUUCGUUGUGUCGGCGGUGAAAGCCCCGGGCUUAACCUGGGAAUGGGCGUUGAAACUGGCGAACUGGAGUGUGGCAGAGGGGGGUGGAAUUCCGCGUGUAGCAGUGAAAUGCGUAGAGAUGCGGAGGAACACCGAUGGCGAAGGCAGCCCCCUGGGCUAACACUGACGCUCAGGCACGAAAGCGUGGGGAGCAAACAGG